AUGCUGCUCCAUCCAUCGAGGGAGAUGUUCAUCGGAGAUUUAAAGAACGCCGAUGCAAAGGCGUGGAUCCAGAUCGAGCACACACAGAGAGAGGAUGAGGAGGAUCCGGAGGCGCUCAUGUGGGGAAGGAGGGGUGGGACUCGACGGAGUUGGUCGGCUGAUAAAAAGCGGUGGCGGCAAAGUAUGAGGACAGAGAGGAGUUGGGGGGAAGGUGCGGCGCCGGUGUCGAGUGUCGCCGAUGGUGGAAAGCAGCAGGGUGGGGACAGCGCACGGCGGAGGGGAUGUGCCGAGCGGUGGCAGCAGAGGGGCGGCGACGGUGGCCGGCGAUGGUGGUGGAAAGUAGCAGGGGUGGGGGCGGCGCACGGCAGAGGGACGGUGCCGAGCGGUGGCCGGCGGUGGCGAAGAGGCGGGGGCCGGUUGCAGCGGCGCAUGUCAAGGGUCGGCGGGGCGCUGGAGCGUGGAGAUGGGAGGUAG
RNAcentral lists this ribosomal RNA (474 nucleotides) under Triticum aestivum (bread wheat). RNAcentral describes it as "partial small subunit ribosomal RNA". Lineage: Eukaryota; Viridiplantae; Streptophyta; Magnoliopsida; Poales; Poaceae. The record is from RNAcentral.